UCCUACGGGAGGCAGCAGUAGGGAAUUUUCGUCAAUGGGCGCAAGCCUGAACGAGCAAUGCCGCGUGAACGAGGAAGGUCUUCGGAUCGUAAAGUUCUGUUGCAGGGGAAAAAGAGCGGAGAGAGGAAAUGGUCUCCGAUUGAUAUUACCCUUCGAGGAAGUCACGGCUAACUACGUGCCAGCAGCCGCGGUAAUACGUAGGUGGCGAGCGUUAUCCGGAAUGAUUGGGCGUAAAGGGUGCGUAGGCGGCCUGCUAAGUCUGGAGUGAAAGGUACCGGCUCAACCGGUCCAGGCUCUGGAAACUG
Molecule: ribosomal RNA, 305 nt
Filed under: uncultured bacterium
Lineage: Bacteria
Description: bacterial SSU rRNA
Rfam family: Bacterial small subunit ribosomal RNA
Source: RNAcentral